RNAcentral lists this ribosomal RNA (371 nucleotides) under uncultured organism. RNAcentral's name for it is "bacterial SSU rRNA". It matches the Rfam family "Bacterial small subunit ribosomal RNA", at positions 525 to 896 of the family's 1533-position model. The record is from RNAcentral.
CGGAAGGGGGCGAGCGUUGUUCGGAAUCACUGGGCGUAAAGAGUGCGUAGGCGGUUAUGAAAGUUAGGAGUGAAAGCCCAGGGCUUAACCUUGGAAUUGCUUUUAAUACUACAUAACUCGAAUUCGGGAGAGGAUAGCGGAAUUGUCAGUGUAGCAGUGAAAUGCGUAGAUAUUGACAGGAACACCAGUGGCGUAAGCGGCUAUCUGGACCGACAUUGACGCUGAGGCACGAAAGCGUGGGGAUCAAACAGGAUUAGAUACCCUGGUAGUCCACGCCGUAAACGAUGUGUGUUUGUCGCUGGGGAGUUUACUCUUCGGUGACGGAGCUAACGCGUUAAGCACACCGCCUGGGAAGUACGGUCGCAAGAUUA